Molecule: transfer RNA, 77 nt
Filed under: Aquihabitans sp.
Lineage: Bacteria; Bacillati; Actinomycetota; Acidimicrobiia; Acidimicrobiales; Iamiaceae
Also listed under: 4 other names
Description: tRNA-Pro
Rfam family: tRNA
About the family: Transfer RNA (tRNA) molecules are approximately 80 nucleotides in length. Their secondary structure includes four short double-helical elements and three loops (D, anti-codon, and T loops).
Source: RNAcentral
CGGGGUGUGGCUCAGCUUGGUAGAGCGCUGCGUUCGGGACGCAGAGGUCGUGGGUUCAAAUCCCGCCACCCCGACCA